GAAUGUGGCUCUGUGGGACGGUGGGUUCUAGAUCACCAUUUGUGUGAUGGAGACAAUGGCCUCUGCCCAGGGAACCCCCACCCUCACCAGGCAUGGUUCAGGUUGGGACUUUGCUCCACUCCUCCUUUGUGAUGGGAGGGGCAGAGGUUUGGAGGACAGGAAAAGGGACAGCAAGCUUCUGUAUUGGACAUGGAGGUCACGGGGCCCAGAACUGGAGUGGCGGGGGAGUGAAAGUUGUGAGGGGCAGAGGAGAACCUAGUCAGCCCGGCCCCUAGUGAGGACCACUGAUCCGGGGGAGGGGAACUGAGACACAGGAAGUCUCCAGCAGUCGGGAUCCUGGGAUCCAAGGUGUGGGGUCAUGGGUCUGGGGGCCUGUGGAUGGAGUUCUUGGUCGUGGCUGUCACACGGACACCAGGUAAACACGUGCGCGAGGCCUGAUCCAACUCCGGCUUGUUCAGAGGGCUUCAUGCUCAGAUUUCAUAGUCCCAUAUCACCGUGGGACCGAGCAGUCACCCUGCACAAGCCUUCCCCACCCAGGGCGUUGCCUUCUCCUUUCUGCUCCUGCUGUAAACAGGUGUUCUUUUGAGCACCUUUUCGAGGUCCAUUAGUGCCCACGUUUGCAGUUUCAGGCUUUCUCUCGGUGGUUUCACUGCUUUAAAAUAGCCCUAAUGCUGAUGUGUGAGGCACAAGAAAGGUGUGACCUACACUGGGGAGAAAAUAUGGGUGUCAAUAAGCUUCCUUCAGGCAUGAGUUCUAAUGCUGUGGGCAGAGUUGAGGGUUAAGCGUCGUAUGUAUUAAACAAGGGGUCUUAAAGCAAAAACAUGAGGGAAACAAGGUUACGUAUUGAUGUGACUCAAACCAGGGCAUGCAGAAACCUAACCCCGUAGAUCCUCUAGGAGCGAGGGUUCAUUGCUCAUUGCUCAUGCUGACUCCAUAGAACAUAACUACUGGGACUAAUGAGGAUCACUGUGAUUUGUUCAGUAUGAGGCUUCUCAGCUUGAGUGUUUUGAGAUCCAUCUGUCUAGAAAACUUAAAAUACAGAUUCCUGUCCCCCACCCUUUCUAGGUUCUGGCUCUAAGGUCUGGGGCUGGGUAUGGAGACUCUUCAUGCAUAUGCUAUGAGGUGUAGGGGUUUCAGGAUCUGGGGAUCUGGGUAUGGGUGACAAGGUCUGGGGAUGGGUGUGGAGACUCUUCACACAUACUGAACUCUUGAGGUGUAGGAAUUUCAGGAUCUACUUUGAGAAUCCCCUGGUUGAAGCUAUGGCCCUGGCUGGUGAGAGAGCUCCUGUCCCCAGUCUCAGAAGUAGCUGGUGGCCUCAUCUCUCUGGGCCAAGGGGUGGCCAGUGCUUCUAUAAAUGGUCCAGAAAGAGUGGAAAAGGUCUAGACAGGAAAGGAUCAUCUGAGUUUCGUGCCCUGCUAAGGCCUCCGUCUUCCCUUUGGUAAAACCAGGAUAACCGAUAAUACCUAUUUCACAGGCUUUGUUUGUGAAUGUAAUGAAAUAAUGUACUUUGAACUUGCAAGUGUUUUUCUUUUCAUUCCACUUGUAGAAGAGAGAAGAAGCCAGGCUGGGGGUGACAGGCCUUGGAUGUUCCCGCUGGAGUUUGUGCUGGGUCUUCAAGGUGCCCUUCUCCUUUCAGGUAACCUGGGUGGGGAGGACCAUGCUUCAGAGCAAAGAGUGGAGGACGUUUUCCUCCGGAAGUUCAUGCUGUGCACUUUCCCAGCGUGUCUGGCCGACCAGCUGGUCCUAAAGCGCCAGGCUAACCAGCUGGAGAUCUGUGCCCUGGUCCUGGGCAGCUGCCUGCACACAAAUUCUACUUCCUGGUGGGCUACAGUGAGACUCUGCUGUCCCACUUUUACAAAUGUCCCAUCCGUCUGCACCUCCAGACUGUGCCUUCCAAGGCCUUGUGUAAGCACAUCUAAGACAGUCACCUUGUCUGCAUCAGGCUCUAGCCUGCGAAGGACAGAGGCGUGUGGGAGAGGAGUGAAGCAGAGACGGGGAAAUACAUCCCCUCACUGUCUUGAGGAUUCCUUUCCGAAGCUGCUAUUGAAUAAAUGGACCUUCCGUGUU
Molecule: long non-coding RNA, 2067 nt
Organism: Lutra lutra (Eurasian river otter)
Lineage: Eukaryota; Metazoa; Chordata; Mammalia; Carnivora; Mustelidae
Exons: 2
Source: RefSeq, a predicted model, not a curated record